GUGGGGAAUCUUGCGCAAUGGCCGAAAGGCUGACGCAGCGACGCCGCGUGCGGGAUGAAGGCCUUCGGGUCGUAAACCGCUGUUGCCCGGGACGAACAACUGGUUUCGACCAGUCUGACGGUACCGGGUGAGGAAGCACCGGCUAACUCCGUGCCAGCAGCCGCGGUAAUACGGAGGGUGCGAGCGUUGUCCGGAAUCACUGGGCGUAAAGGGCGCGUAGGCGGCCCCGUAAGCGUGCGGUGAAAGCCUGGGGCUCAACCCCGGGUCGGCCGUGCGAACUGUGGGGCUCGAGCACUGUAGAGGCAGGCGGAAUUCCGGGUGUAGCGGUGGAAUGCGUAGAGAUCCGGAAGAACACCGGUGGCGAAGGCGGCCUGCUGGGCAGUGGCUGACGCUGAGGCGCGACAGCGUGGGGAGCAAACAGGAUUAGAAACCCCUGUAGUCC
RNAcentral lists this ribosomal RNA (442 nucleotides) under uncultured bacterium. RNAcentral describes it as "bacterial SSU rRNA". It matches the Rfam family "Bacterial small subunit ribosomal RNA", at positions 354 to 796 of the family's 1533-position model. The record is from RNAcentral.